UACGAGGGGGGCGAGCGUUGUUCGGAAUUAUUGGGCGUAAAGGGUGCGUAGGCGGUUUGGUAAGUCUUGUGUGAAAUCUACAGGCUCAACUUGUAGUCUGCACGAGAAACUGCCGGGCUUGAGUGUGGGAGAGGUGAGUGGAAUUCCUGGUGUAGCGGUGAAAUGCGUAGAUAUCAGGAGGAACACCUGUGGCGAAAGCGGCUCACUGGACCACAACUGACGCUGAUGCGCGAAAGCUAGGGGAGCAAACAGG
RNAcentral lists this ribosomal RNA (253 nucleotides) under uncultured bacterium. RNAcentral describes it as "partial 16S ribosomal RNA". It matches the Rfam family "Bacterial small subunit ribosomal RNA", at positions 524 to 776 of the family's 1533-position model. The record is from RNAcentral.